This 232-nucleotide long non-coding RNA is filed under the name Mytilus galloprovincialis (Mediterranean mussel). Lineage: Eukaryota; Metazoa; Mollusca; Bivalvia; Mytilida; Mytilidae. The record is from RNAcentral.
UCUUCUCUAAAACUACUGUUCCAAAUUUAACCAUACUUGACCUUAAUCAUCAUUGAGGUAUCUAGUUUAAAAAAUGUGUGCAGUGACCAGGCCAACUAUCCAAGAUGGCCACCAUGGCUAAAAAUAGAACAUAGGGGUAAAAUGUAGAUUUUGGCUUAUAACUCUGAAACCAAAGCAUUAAGAGCAAUUCAGACAGAGAUAAAUUGUUUUGCAAGUCAAGAUCUAUCUGCCC